AUUUAAGUAGUUUAAAUUUAGAAUAUUAAUUUGUGGUGUUAAAGGUAAUUUUUGUUCUUAAAUC
RNAcentral lists this transfer RNA (64 nucleotides) under Corythucha marmorata. Its description in RNAcentral is "tRNA-His". Lineage: Eukaryota; Metazoa; Arthropoda; Insecta; Hemiptera; Tingidae. The record is from RNAcentral.